GUCCCGAAAAAGAUCCGAAUCGUUUGUGAAUCUCAUCACUGUUAGAAAUCCAAGAGAAGAGAUCCUCUUCCCUUAACAUCAUCAGAGGAAAAAUCUGCUUCUUAAUCAAUUAGUUUCAGCGUUUGUACCUCUCUCUCUGGAUCCAUAUCAUCCUACAGUCUCUUCUUGAGCAAGGCGUGGUGAGACACUUUACACAAGAUUUACCUGUAAUUCAUAACGCGCUCUGUGACCUUCUCCCUCCCUCAGCACUCUGUGGUCUGUGUGUAUCUGCUGAGUCACCAGAAAUCUGCCAAGACACUGACGCUUGCGCCUGCUCCAACAUCUGGCGCAUAAGGGCUUUAAGGUUUCCAGAACCAAGCUGCAAUAUUGCAUGGACACUUAAGUAUUUGAACUUUUGCAGUUUUGAACUUUCUCAAGGCUGUCAUUCUAGACACAAAACGCCCUGCAACUAAACAUGCACUGAUGUCUUUUCUGGGUCAGAAAAUGGAUCCCUGACUGCUCUUUAUAUGACAAGCUUCUCCGUUCUGCAAUCUCUCAUCACGAUCCACUGCAACAUCCUUUGACCUGGACUGACACUAUGGUGGUCUCUUAUCACUCCCUCACCCUUUGUUCCGCCCCUGGGUUACCUGCUCACUUCAAGCCCUUCCACCUCUAUGCCUGUGAACACCAAGGCACAGCCUCUG
Long non-coding RNA from Neoarius graeffei (lesser salmon catfish), 683 nucleotides. RefSeq lists it as uncharacterized. The transcript has 3 exons. The record is from RefSeq and is a predicted model, not a curated record. Lineage: Eukaryota; Metazoa; Chordata; Actinopteri; Siluriformes; Ariidae.